Papaver somniferum (opium poppy) is the source of this 589-nucleotide long non-coding RNA. RefSeq lists it as uncharacterized. Lineage: Eukaryota; Viridiplantae; Streptophyta; Magnoliopsida; Ranunculales; Papaveraceae. The record is from RefSeq and is a predicted model, not a curated record. The transcript is spliced from 2 exons.
CAAGGGGGAAAGCGAGAUGACUAAAACUCUUGAAUCUAUCUACUGAGUCCGAUCUUUUUCUUUCAAUAUCUGUAACUUAGGAGGUGAGAAAGCAAAACUAAGAGUAAAGAGAAAAAUCAGAGGAAUAUAGUUCGCGAAAAAGAUGGUGAAGUUCGCGAACUCUUGAAUUUGUUAAUCUCAGUAAGAAAUUAAGAUCAAACAAAUAGGGGAUGAGGUUUAUUGGUGUUGUUGACUGAAUGUUUAAGUGGCAGGUAACUUUGAUACAAGUGGUGUCGAUUUGGGCGAAGGAGAAAUUCGAGUUUGGGUCGAGUAAAGGGUCUCGGUUGUGUAUAGGGAGGUGACUGCGGUUUCUUUUUGUGGCAGUCCUGUGUAUGUAGUUUUUGAAGGUGAUGUGUUUAACUUAGACUAACUUUUGUAAAUGGUGUUUAUAUACUUAUCUAUCACAAACACACUGUAUCCAUAUGUUCAGUAAAAGUAUGUAUGUAAAUUAUCCCUUUUAAAAUCUUAGGUUGAACAUGUUUUAAAAUGCCUGCAUCUUUUGAAACUUUAUAAGUUGUUCUUCAUUUGUAAGGAUUAAAUUAGUGCGUUU